RNAcentral lists this long non-coding RNA (266 nucleotides) under Phascolarctos cinereus (koala). RNAcentral's name for it is "lncRNA (ENSPCIG00000031858.1)". Lineage: Eukaryota; Metazoa; Chordata; Mammalia; Diprotodontia; Phascolarctidae. The record is from RNAcentral.
CUCCAGGCCUUGCCAUUUGUUUGUUCUGACCAGGAAGAAGUGCACCCCAAAGAGAGAACAGGAGUGGAGACCCCCUGCUAGACUCUGUUCGAUCUUAGGCACCUCUAGGGAGGGCUCAGAGUUGUUUUCAGGCCGGAGCAGGGCUGCUGGUCGUGAGGGGUCCCAGCCGAAAGUUAGCGCUGUGUAUUUGGGAGGCUCCCCCGCGGUCGCCUCCCUCUGCUGAGACUGGGGCAGUUCAGGUGAAGCUUCGCCCACUGCAGGGUCUG